This 1139-nucleotide long non-coding RNA is filed under the name Phoenix dactylifera (date palm). RNAcentral's name for it is "long non-coding RNA (PDAC_LNC001732)". Lineage: Eukaryota; Viridiplantae; Streptophyta; Magnoliopsida; Arecales; Arecaceae. The record is from RNAcentral.
CUUCGUCCAUGCGGAUGCUUCUGAUUGAUUCGGCAAUGCUUGCGUUCGACGACAAUACAGAGUUCGAUAUGGGAAAUUGCUUCGCGAAUAAAAUGUCGGCCGGCCGCCUCCAAGUGCAGGCGAUUCAAGUAUGCACAUCAAAUGUUUGAUAAGAUAACCAAUAGUAUGUAAGUCCCCGGAGCGUAGGGCUAGAGUUGUGUCAGGAUACGUUGAAGGAGAAAGGAGAGCCUAGCGUGAGCGUGAUGGUGGAUAUCCUCUCUGCACGCACGCAUAUAGGCGUUAUCAAACAGGUCGAGCGGACGGAGGUAUAUAUGAGAAGGAAGAACAUAUACCUUACUGUUACGAUUGGCAUUGCACAGAUUCUAAGAGUAGCUAAAAUGCGGUAUGCGUGUGGAGAAGGCCUUUGAAACAUCGGGUACGUUGGCUUCCCAUGUGAUGGUAAGAGAGCCGUGACAGCUUCCAACACGAUGGCAAUUAGGUAUUCGCAUGUAGUGGAGAGACGUAACAGACUUCUUUCAUAAUGAAAAUGAACCGGUCAUUCUAUCAAUUUCUGAAGCUGGUAGAAUUCAUGAGAAGAAUUAUAAAACCCUUAUCAAGGUUUUACUCCAUUUUGAGUAUUAGAAUAAAAGAACCCAGCCAAAGAGACACUAGUAAGUUCACCACAUGAAGAACUUCUAUCAUUUGAAGAUACCAACCACUAGAACGUUAUGUGAAGAUCAAACAGUUUUGAUAACUGUAACCAAUUACAUAGCCAUCAAUAAGGACCUUCAUUACCUCACAGGGUAGCAUCUCCUCCAGCAUGCACAUACCACCAAAUGCAAUUGCAAUUUAUUAGACCACAGAUCAAUUCCCACGUAGAACCUUGAUCUCAGAGCUACAAAAAUUCUUUCCAGAUGCUUGAGGAACAUAAAAAGUAACCAUCUGACGAGGAAAAAACAAAAAGGAGUGGCAACGGAAUACUCCUCCUCCCAUCCUACGACGGACCUAACGAAAAAUACAUCAAUUCAGUUCCUCUAAUCGCCUCCACAAAAGAAGAAUUAUAAAACCCUUAUCAAGGUUUUACUCCAUUUUGAGUAUUAGAAUAAAAGAACCCAGCCAAAGAGACACUAGUAAGUUCACCACAUGAAGAACUUCUAUCA